UACAGAGGGGGCAAGCGUUAUUCGGAAUUAUUGGGCGUAAAGGGCGCGUAGGCGGCCAUUCAAGUGACGGGUGAAAGCCCUCGGCUUAACCGAGGAACUGCCUGUCAGACUGGAUGGCUUGAGACCGGGAGAGGUGAGUGGAAUUCCUGGUGUAGCGGUGGAAUGCGCAGAUAUCAGGAAGAACACCCGUGGCGAAGGCGGCUCACUGGACCGGAACUGACGCUGAGGCGCGAAAGCGUGGGGAGCAAACAGG
RNAcentral lists this ribosomal RNA (253 nucleotides) under uncultured bacterium. Its description in RNAcentral is "partial 16S ribosomal RNA". It matches the Rfam family "Bacterial small subunit ribosomal RNA", at positions 524 to 776 of the family's 1533-position model. The record is from RNAcentral.